GAGGAGGGCGGUGUACGGUGGGGGGGGACGCAGGCCGGGCUCAGCCCCAAGCGGUCAACGUGGCCGCAACAAAACAGAAAUCCCAGCGAUCCCCCGCGCCCGCAAACAGCGGCUGACAGCGGCAGCGGCUCGGGGGGGGGGGGGAACCGGGGGCUGCUAAAGGGGGCGGGGGGGGGGGGGGCACCGAUUUGGAUUUGUUUCCUCUCAGUAAUUACAAGAAGGAUAGAAAACACAUGUGUUGGGAUUGCGUUUUUUGUAGGGUAUUUUUUUUUUUUAAAGCCUCCCCCCGCCCCCCCCUUUCCCUUUCCUAAAUCAGUUCAUCAAUUCGCUAAUUAUAGCUUGGGGGGGGGGGGGAAUCUCCCGACACGUUUAUUUUCCUCCCCACCCCCCCUCUCCUCUUCUUUUCUCCCUUCCCUCUCUCUGUGCACAUCAGAGUGGGGAGAAAGGGGGGGGCCCAAAAAGUGCUGGGAUGGAGUGUGUGUGUGUGGGGGGGGAAUAUGGCAUAUGAGUGGCGAAUGUUAUUUGGGAUUUCUAUGGGCGCUUUUCUUUUCGGGGAACAAAGAGCAACUCCUAUUCGAGAGCUACUCGAAGUCGUGUACAUAUUUCCACUGCUGUGUAGCACUUUUAAUAAAACAUCUGUUCUUGCUUCUGCUGAUGAGUUUACAUAAUUGUUUGCAGACCAAUUUAACCAGAAAGCGCCCCACAUAUUCCCUGUGCGUGUUCUCGUGGGGGGAAAUGUAUAUUAUAUGGGACGUGUAUAUAUAUAUAUAUAUGGGGGGACUGCAGUGGGUAAAGCGCCCUUUUAGGGUGGGUGAGGCGUUGCGUUCGCUGGAAUUUUUUGGGGUGGAUGCGCUCUUUUUAGGUAUUAUUAUGAUCCUUUCUGUUGCGUGUGUGUGUUUUCCCCCUCUCCCCCCUCUCUCUGUGUCUCUUUUCUGGCGGAUUUUGAGCGUGGGGAGCGGGUUCUGUGUGCAGUUUCUGUGCGGCAGCUGGUUUGUGUUCACUAUAAAUCGAGCGGACUUUUAAGACUUGCCCUCUGUUUAGAGAAGUCAUAAAACACUUAACUUUCUCGACUCCCAGUCACACGGUUAUCACACAGGUCUGGGAUACAACAGCCCCCCGAGCACCUAGACAAAAAAAAUAUAUAUAUAAAAUAAAAGGGAAGGGGUGAUGGGGGGGGGGGGGGAUGUGGGGUGGGGGGGGGGGAGCAGAGCAAAAACAGAGUGAUAAAAUCAUGCUGGUCACAAUAAAGAACCCAAAGGGAGCGCCUGCAGCACCGCUCUCCCCUCCCAACUUUAGCGGGGUGGGCACCGCUCUCGUUGCCCUUCCAUGGGUGCCCCACAGCGCUCCGACCCACGGAGCUGAGCCACCUCCAAUGCACGGGCGGGAUAAGCCCUCCAUCCCUCCCUCCAUCCCUGCGUUGGAACUCAAUGGCAGCAAUACCAACGUAAUAACUGGAAGCAGCUCGCGGGUUUCCCAAGUAACCCACCCCAGGGCCGGGGGCUGCAGCACAGAGCCGAGACCCCCCCCCCCGGCCGAGGGGCAGCACUCAGCACAAGCCCUCCGUCGUCUCCUUUCUGCGCUCUUUUUCCUUCUUUUCCCCUAAAUCCCCUCUUAGGCUCCGCCAGAGGGUUGGGGCGAAGGGGAGUAGAGGAAGAGGAGGGCAACGAAAGCAAAACUGAAGUUCGUUGUGGGGUUUUUUGUUUGGCUUUUUUUUGGGGGGAGAGGGGGGGAGGGAAGAGGAGGGGGGACGCCCGGACACCUCCCCCAUGUCCGUCAGUCUGAGAUCCGUCCAAGUUGGGCAGCCUUGAGGUGAAGUCACUGCGCACCCCAAUAAAGUCCGUCGCUAAACAUCGCAGGGCACGCACGCAGUUCUCUCCUCCUUCGGGUCCCAAACUUUAUUUUUCCCCCUGGUGACACUCAGGGGAAGCCUUAACGUUAUAGAAGAUGAAUACACGAGCUUUCUUUUUUUUUUUUUUUCCUCUUUUUUUUUUUUUUUUUUUCAGUUGUAGUCUCGUUUAUGGUUUUAUUGCUACCAUUGAUUACUUUGCUUUGUUACACAGAGGAAAAAGAGCAUAAAAUCCGUUGGCAUCCGGGUUCCUGUUAUAGCUGGGGGGAAAAAUAUACAGCCCCCCCCCAUCCCCCUUCCAGCCCCCCGGCCCUUCUUUGUCAGCUCAAAUCUUUUCGAGAUACAUCGCUAAAAAGGAACGAAGUGCACUGAUGGAGAGCAAACAAACGCUCUCAGCUUCGAACUGGAGUGUGCGCCCAGAGGGGCUCUCCCAGCCCCACACACGUCUGAAUUAAACACCGUGGACCCGAAGGUUUGGGAGGCCGAGCUUCCCCUCCUUCGUGGGGUUUCUAAAUAGGAAAGCACCGGGGCUGAGAUACCCCCGCGCUGCGUGCAGAGCUGCAGGUAUGUUCCACAUCUCGGGGGCCACUGAUGGCUCGAGAUAAUUGCGGCGAAAAUCGGAUGCAAUCAGAUGAGAUUCAUUUCCAUCACUCCUGGGCUCAACCCGCCCAGAGGAGAAGGGAACAGAAUCCCCUCUCCCGCCUCACCCAAUAUUUGCCAUAGAACUUUCCCCAUCAGCUCUAAAUACCCGCAGCCCCCAAUGGCCGCAGCCACGAACCACGAGGUCCCGUCCUCAGCCCCCACAACAUGAGCGCUCCUGUUUGCCCCACACUUCGCCCUGAUUAUUUUGCUGCUGGAAAACGUAGGUCUGUCCUUCCUGCACUGAGAACGAGGAGGGAGAGGUGCAGGAGGGAAACGUCAAACUGCAAACCAGGAGAAAUGCGAACUUCGGGCUGGCGUGAGCUCGCAGCGCUGUGUGUUCGUGGUCUGUCUGUCUGUCUGUCCUCCUUUUUAUUUCUCCCCCCCCCUUUCCCCUCCCGAAGACACACUUUAGGAAUGCUCUGAAAGACGUUAUCAGUUCAGAAGUCGCCAUGUUUCCCCCCCCCCCCCACCCCUUCCACCCCACUCCCCCCUUUUCUCUUUAUGUAAUAUUUUCUCAUCAGGAACACAACCGUUUGGUUCCGUGAUAUUGACCAAGGCUGCAACAGAACGGGGAGGUGGUGGGGAGGGGGGUGGGGGUGGGGGGGGGGGUUGGGGAGGAUAAAUAAUAAUAAAAAAAAGUCCCGAUAAUUUAUGGCUUAAUAUUCUGUGGACGUCUGAGAUUUAUGAGCGUGAAUUCUGAGCUGUUUUAUUACGAGAUAUUAAGCAAACAUUUCUUAAAAAAAAAAAAAAAGAAAGAAUAAAAGGGGGGCGGG
Molecule: long non-coding RNA, 3261 nt
Filed under: Gallus gallus (chicken)
Lineage: Eukaryota; Metazoa; Chordata; Aves; Galliformes; Phasianidae
Source: RNAcentral